This 492-nucleotide ribosomal RNA is filed under the name uncultured bacterium. Its description in RNAcentral is "partial 16S ribosomal RNA". It matches the Rfam family "Bacterial small subunit ribosomal RNA", at positions 30 to 507 of the family's 1533-position model. The record is from RNAcentral.
AGCGAACGCUGGCGGUAGGCUUAACACAUGCAAGUCGAACGGCAGCACAGUAAGAGCUUGCUCUUACGGGUUGCGAGUGGCGGACGGGUGAGGAAUACAACGGACUCUACUUUUUCGUGGGGGAUCACGUAGGGAAACUUAAGCUCAUACAGCAUACGACCUUCGGGGGAAAGCAGGGGAUAUUCGGACCUUGCGCGGAUGAAUGCGCCGAUGUGGGAUUUGCUAGUGGGGGGGGUAAAUGCCAACCAAGUCGACGAUCCGUAGCUGGUCUGGGAGGAUGGUCGGCCGCGCGGGAAGUGAGACACGGUCCAGACUCCUGCGGGAGGCAGCAGUGGGGAAUAGUGGACAGUGGGCGCAAGCCUGGUCCAGCCAGACCGCGUGGGUGAAGGAGGCCUUCGGGUUGUAAAGCCCUUUUGUUGGGAGAGAAAAGCAGCAGGUUAAGACCCCGCUGUUCUGACGGUACCCAAUGAAUAAGCACCGGCUAACUUCGUG